UAGGGAAUCUUCGGCAAUGGGGGGAACCCUGACCGAGCAACGCCGCGUGAGUGAAGAAGGGUUUCGGAUCGUAAAGCUCUGUUGUUAAGGAAGAACGAGUGUGAGAAUGGAAAGUUCAUACUGUGACGGUACUUAACCAGAAAGGGACGGCUAACUACGUGCCAGCAGCCGCGGUAAUACGUAGGUCCCGAGCGUUGUCCGUAUUUAUUGGGCGUAAAGCGAGCGCAGGCGGUUAGAUAAGUCUGCAGUUAAAGGCAGUGGCUCAACCAUUGUAUGCUUUGGAAACUGUUUAACUUGAGUGCAGAAAGGGAGAGUAGAAUUCCAUGUGUUGCGGUGCAAUGCGUAGAUAUUUGGAGGAACACCGGUGGCGAAAGCGGCUCUCUGGUCUGUAACUGACGCUGAGGCUCGAAAGCGUGGGGAGCGAACAGG
Molecule: ribosomal RNA, 429 nt
Filed under: Bacteroidota bacterium
Lineage: Bacteria; Pseudomonadati; Bacteroidota
Description: Bacteroidetes bacterium partial 16S ribosomal RNA
Rfam family: Bacterial small subunit ribosomal RNA
Source: RNAcentral